GAGUUUGAUUCUGGCUCAGAUUGAACGCUGGCGGCAUGCCUUACACAUGCAAGUCGAACGGCAGCACGGAGCUUGCUCUGGUGGCGAGUGGCGAACGGGUGAGUAAUAUAUCGGAACGUACCCUAGAGUGGGGGAUAACGUAGCGAAAGUUACGCUAAUACCGCAUACGAUCUAAGGAUGAAAGUGGGGGAUCGCAAGACCUCAUGCUCGUGGAGCGGCCGAUAUCUGAUUAGCUAGUUGGUGGGGUAAAAGCCUACCAAGGCAUCGAUCAGUAGCUGGUCUGAGAGGACGACCAGCCACACUGGAACUGAGACACGGUCCAGACUCCUACGGGAGGCAGCAGUGGGGAAUUUUGGACAAUAGGCGAAAGCCUGAUCCAGCAAUGCCGCGUGAGCGAAGAAGGCCUUCGGGUUGUAAAGCUCUUUUGUCAGGGAAGAAACGGUGGGAGCUAAUAUCUCUUGCUAAUGACGG
RNAcentral lists this ribosomal RNA (471 nucleotides) under Janthinobacterium lividum. RNAcentral's name for it is "bacterial SSU rRNA". It matches the Rfam family "Bacterial small subunit ribosomal RNA", at positions 9 to 475 of the family's 1533-position model. Lineage: Bacteria; Pseudomonadati; Pseudomonadota; Betaproteobacteria; Burkholderiales; Oxalobacteraceae. The record is from RNAcentral.